This 565-nucleotide ribosomal RNA is filed under the name uncultured archaeon. Its description in RNAcentral is "bacterial SSU rRNA". It matches the Rfam family "Archaeal small subunit ribosomal RNA", at positions 4 to 522 of the family's 1478-position model. The record is from RNAcentral.
CCGGUUGAUCCUGCCGGAGGACACUGCUAUCAGAGUACGCCUAAGCCAUGCAAAUCUGCCCGGCGACUUCGCCGGACGGUGUACGGCUCAGUAACAAGUAGUCAAUCUGCCCUUCGGACUGGCAUACCCCCGGGAAACUGGGGUUAAUUCCGGAUGGCCCGCCUCUGCUGGAAUGCUUGGCGGGCAAAACGGCGCGCGAAUCAGGGCGCGUCCGCCGAAGGAUGAGACUGCUCCUGAUUAGGUAGUUGGUGAGGUAACGGCUCACCAAGCCGAUAAUCAGUAGGGGCAAUGGGAGUUGGCGCCCCGAGAAGGGCACUGAGACAGGGGCCCUAGUCCUACGGGAUGCAGCAGGCGCGAAACCUUUACAAUGCGCGAAAGCGUGAUAAGGGAACUCUGAGUGGCAGCCGGCUUUUGCCGACUGUCUUUCGGCGAACCUAAACCGUUCGCAGAAUAAGUUCUGGGUAAGACCAGUGCCAGCCGCCAUGUGCUUUGCACAAAGCGCACGGUACGCGGUAAUACUGGCAGAACGAGUGGUGCCCACGAAUAUUGGGUCUAAAGAGACCGU